Molecule: transfer RNA, 76 nt
Filed under: bacterium
Lineage: Bacteria
Description: tRNA-Arg
Rfam family: tRNA
About the family: Transfer RNA (tRNA) molecules are approximately 80 nucleotides in length. Their secondary structure includes four short double-helical elements and three loops (D, anti-codon, and T loops).
Source: RNAcentral
GCGGUUGUAGCUCAGUGGAUAGAGCGCUUCCCUCCGGAGGAAGAAGUCGGGGGUUCGAGUCCCUUCAGCCGCGCCA